This 244-nucleotide unclassified non-coding RNA is filed under the name fungal sp. RNAcentral's name for it is "partial internal transcribed spacer region". The stretch from base 1 to 46 matches the Rfam family "Eukaryotic small subunit ribosomal RNA", at positions 1786 to 1831 of the family's 1831-position model. Lineage: Eukaryota; Fungi. The record is from RNAcentral.
AAGUCGUAACAAGGUUUCCGUAGGUGAACCUGCGGAAGGAUCAUUACCGAGUAAGGGUCUCUCAGGCCCGAUCUCCCACCCUCUGUGUACCUACCUAUGUUGCUUUGGCGGGCCCGCUGGGGCAACCCACCGUCGGCUUCGGCUGGCGAGCGCCCGCCAGAGACCACGCAAACUCUGCUCAUCAGUGUCGUCUGAGCAAAACAUACAAUAGUUAAAACUUUCAACAACGGAUCUCUUGGUUCUG